Molecule: long non-coding RNA, 644 nt
Organism: Daphnia magna
Lineage: Eukaryota; Metazoa; Arthropoda; Branchiopoda; Diplostraca; Daphniidae
Exons: 2
Source: RefSeq, a predicted model, not a curated record
CAGUUUGUGCCAGUGUUUCUUCAUUGAUUUGUUCUUCCCUCGAUUGUUCCGUCUGGUUGGCGGCUUGUUUAGAGUUUUUUUAUUUGUUAGAUGCUUGGGGCAUCUUGUGCGUUUGUUUAUAAGUUGGCCUUUUUAUUAAUUCCUGAUUGUAUUUGUUUACCUAGGCUGUUGAUGGCCGUUGGGCAUGCUGUUUAUGUUGUCUUUGUAUGUGGAUGCCUCGAAUUUUUGGUUUCCAUGGUGGUAAUUCAAGUUUAUAUACUUUCCUUAUCUCUUGGAGUUUUUCCUAGGUGGUUUCCCUGUUUCAUGGUUGUUGAUUUUGUUGAGUGCUGUUUGUCUGGCUGAUUGGUCGUUCAUAUUUGUCGUUCCUGUUGUUAAUGCUGUCCCGUGGUUUUGAUCUGUUGGUGGAUAAUUCAAUUUCCUGGGUUUGGGCGUUUCAUUAAACCUGGAUGAGUACUCCUCACACAUUGUCCGAUCUCUACUAUUUGUCUUGCAUUUUUUUUCUCUUUAUAUUAUGUGUAUCAGUGCUGUCUGCAUUAAGAAUCUUCCUAGUAGGUCCCUUAUUUUGUAUUGCGGUGCCGGGUCUGCUAGUGGGUUCAUGCCCAGUAUUGUAUUUGUGUCGAAGUAAAGGUUCUUUGUUGCUAACA